AAGUCGUAACAAGGUUUCCGUAGGUGAACCUGCGGAAGGAUCAUUAAACAUAUUUACAGGGGGCCGAGCCCCACUGCGCGUUUACGUGCUUUGGGACCUGCCCUGUCUGAAUAUUCUACCCAUGUCUUUUGCGUACUAUUUGUUUCCUUGGUAGGCUUGCCUGCCGAUAGGACACUAUAAAACCUUUUGUAGUUGCAGUCAGCGUCAGAAAUAACUUAAUAGUUACAACUUUCAACAACGGAUCUCUUGGUUCUG
RNAcentral lists this unclassified non-coding RNA (255 nucleotides) under air metagenome. RNAcentral's name for it is "partial contains small subunit ribosomal RNA, internal transcribed spacer 1, and 5.8S ribosomal RNA". The stretch from base 1 to 46 matches the Rfam family "Eukaryotic small subunit ribosomal RNA", at positions 1786 to 1831 of the family's 1831-position model. The record is from RNAcentral.